Molecule: long non-coding RNA, 241 nt
Organism: Sander lucioperca (pikeperch)
Lineage: Eukaryota; Metazoa; Chordata; Actinopteri; Perciformes; Percidae
Exons: 3
Source: RefSeq, a predicted model, not a curated record
UUUUGAGAAGCGUUAGUCAGGCUCAUCCCGCUCGUCAUUUCCGGGUUAGCGCUCCACUAAUCAGAUUGGCCAUUGAGUCCGACUGCCCGCCUUCCGAUUCAACAUGUCAAAUCGGCCAAAAUGGAGGCCAACGGCUCCUCCGGGCCGACGAUGGUACGGAGCACACCGAACACACUCGAGUCACUGACCUUGCCAGACUGUCUGACGGCCGAUAAUCGGGUUGGUCUUAGGUCAACAAAGG